CGUCUAGGCGGCACGGCAAGUCAGACGUGAAAUCUCCCGGCCCAACCGGGAGCCCGCGUUCGAUACUGCCGAGCUAGAGUGCGGAAGAGGAGAGCGGAAUUCCAGGUGUAGCGGUGAAAUGCGUAGAUAUCUGGAAGAACACCAGUGGCGAAGGCGGCUCUCUGGUCCGACACUGACGCUGAAGCGCGAAAGCUAGGGGAGCGAACA
This 207-nucleotide ribosomal RNA is filed under the name uncultured bacterium. Its description in RNAcentral is "partial 16S ribosomal RNA". It matches the Rfam family "Bacterial small subunit ribosomal RNA", at positions 568 to 774 of the family's 1533-position model. The record is from RNAcentral.